Molecule: ribosomal RNA, 454 nt
Filed under: uncultured bacterium
Lineage: Bacteria
Description: bacterial SSU rRNA
Rfam family: Bacterial small subunit ribosomal RNA
Source: RNAcentral
UACGGGAGGCAGCAGUGGGGAAUAUUGCACAAUGGGCGCAAGCCUGAUGCAGCCAUGCCGCGUGUAUGAAGAAGGCCUUCGGGUUGUAAAGUACUUUCAGUCGUGAGGAAGGUGUUAAGGUUAAUAACCUUAGCAAUUGACGUUAGCGACAGAAGAAGCACCGGCUAACUCCGUGCCAGCAGCCGCGGUAAUACGGAGGGUGCGAGCGUUAAUCGGAAUUACUGGGCGUAAAGGGCACGCAGGCGGUUAAUUAAGUUGGAUGUGAAAUCCCCGGGCUUAACCUGGGAAUGGCAUUCAAGACUGGUUAGCUAGAGUCUUGUAGAGGGGGUAGGAAUUCCAUGUGUAGCGGUGAAAUGCGUAGAGAUGUGGAGGAAUACCGGUGGCGAAGGCGGCCCCUGGACAAAGACUGACGCUCAUGUGCGAAAGCGUGGGGAGCAAACAGGGAUUAGAUACC